CCUACGGGAGGCAGCAGUGGGGAAUAUUGGGCAAUGGGCGCAAGCCUGACCCAGCAACGCCGCGUGAAGGAAGAAGGCUCUAGGGUUGGAAACUUCUUUUAUCAGGGACGAAGCAAGUGACGGUACCGGAUGUAUAAGCCACGGCUAACUACGUGCCAGCAGCCGCGGUAAUACGGAGGCGGCAAGCGUUAUCCGGAUUUACUGGGUGUAAAGGGCGUGUAGGCGGGAAAGCAAGUCAGAUGUGAAAACGAUGGGCUCAACCUGUGGCCUGCAGUUGAAACUGUUUUUCUUGAGUACUGGAGAGGCAGGCGGAAUUCGUAGUGUAGCGGUGAAAUGCGUAGAUAUUAGGAAGAACACCAGUGGCGAAGGCAGUCUGCUGGACAGCGACUGACGCUGAGGCGCGAAAGCGUGGGGAGCGAACAGGAUUAGAUACCCUGGUAGUC
Molecule: ribosomal RNA, 443 nt
Filed under: uncultured bacterium
Lineage: Bacteria
Description: partial 16S ribosomal RNA
Rfam family: Bacterial small subunit ribosomal RNA
Source: RNAcentral